AACACAUCUCCUUCACAUAGAGUUGAUCAGGUUGUUGAUUGUGGCCUGUGGAAUGUUGAUCCACUCCUCUUCAAUGGCUGUGUGAAGUUGCUGGAUAUUGCCAGGACCUGGGACACGCUGCCGUAUACGCUGAUCCAGAGCAUCCCAAACAUGCUCAAUGGGUGACAUGUCCGGUGAGUAUGCUGGCCAUGCAAGAACUGGGAUGUUUUCAGCUUCCAGGAAUUG
Pelobates cultripes (western spadefoot toad) is the source of this 225-nucleotide non-coding RNA. The record is from the annotation of a GenBank genome assembly. NCBI's taxonomy places the organism in Eukaryota, Metazoa, Chordata, Amphibia, Anura, Pelobatidae.